RNAcentral lists this ribosomal RNA (478 nucleotides) under uncultured bacterium. Its description in RNAcentral is "partial 16S ribosomal RNA". It matches the Rfam family "Bacterial small subunit ribosomal RNA", at positions 28 to 507 of the family's 1533-position model. The record is from RNAcentral.
GAUGAACGCUGGCGGCGUGCUUAACACAUGCCAGUCGAACGAGAAGUGGAGACGGAAACCUUCGGGCGGAAGACUUUAUUUCGAGUGGCGAACGGGUGAGUAACGCGUGGGUAACCUGCCUCAUACAGGGGGAUAACAGUUGGAAACGACUGUUAAUACCGCAUAAGACCACAGCACCGCAUGGUGCGGGGGUAAAAACUCCGGUGGUAUGAGAUGGACCCGCGUUCGAUUAGCCAGUUGGCGGGGUAACGGCCCACCAAAGCGACGAUCGAUAGCCGAUCUGAGAGGAUGACCGGCCACAUUGGGACUGAGACACGGCCCAAACUCCUACGGGAGGCAGCAGUGUGGAAUAUUGCACAAUGGGGGAAACCCUGAUGCAGCGACGCCGCGUGAGUGAAGAAGUAUUUCGGUAUGUAAAGCUCUAUCAGCAGGGAAGAAAAUGACGGUACCUGAGGAAGAAGCCCCGGCUAACUACGUG